CAUAGCUCAGUUGGUAGAGCACGAGACUCUUAACCUCAAGGUCGUGGGUUUGAGCCCCACGUUAGA
This 66-nucleotide transfer RNA is filed under the name Podarcis lilfordi (Lilford's wall lizard). Its description in RNAcentral is "tRNA.Lys". The stretch from base 3 to 60 matches the Rfam family "tRNA", at positions 8 to 63 of the family's 71-position model. From Rfam's summary of the family: Transfer RNA (tRNA) molecules are approximately 80 nucleotides in length. Their secondary structure includes four short double-helical elements and three loops (D, anti-codon, and T loops). Further hydrogen bonds mediate the characteristic L-shaped molecular structure. tRNAs have two regions of fundamental functional importance: the anti-codon, which is responsible for specific mRNA codon recognition, and the 3' end, to which the tRNAs corresponding amino acid is attached (by aminoacyl-tRNA synthetases). tRNAs cope with the degeneracy of the genetic code in two manners: having more than one tRNA (with a specific anti-codon) for a particular amino acid; and 'wobble' base-pairing, i.e. permitting non-standard base-pairing at the 3rd anti-codon position. The record is from RNAcentral. Lineage: Eukaryota; Metazoa; Chordata; Lepidosauria; Squamata; Lacertidae.